Molecule: non-coding RNA, 204 nt
Organism: Oryza glaberrima (African rice)
Lineage: Eukaryota; Viridiplantae; Streptophyta; Magnoliopsida; Poales; Poaceae
Source: Rfam
AAUGUAUGACGCUGCUGACUUUUUUCCCAAUGUUUGACCAUUCGUCUUAUUUGAAAAAUUUAUGUAAUUAUUAUUUAUUUUAUUAUGACUUGAUUCAUCAUCAAAUGUUCUUUAAGCAUGACAUAAAUAUUUUCAUAUUUACACAAAAUUUUUGAAUAAAACGAAUGGUCAAACAUUGUCGAAAAGUCAACGGCGUCGUACAUU